GCUUACGGCCAUACCAACCUGGCUAUGCCCGAUCUCGUCUGAUCUCGGAACCUAAGCACGUUUGGGCCUGGUUAGUACUUGGAUGGGAGACCGCCUGGGAAUACCAGGUGCUGUAAGCU
Molecule: ribosomal RNA, 119 nt
Filed under: Carassius auratus (goldfish)
Lineage: Eukaryota; Metazoa; Chordata; Actinopteri; Cypriniformes; Cyprinidae
Source: RNAcentral